This 66-nucleotide transfer RNA is filed under the name Marmota marmota marmota (Alpine marmot). It matches the Rfam family "tRNA". From Rfam's summary of the family: Transfer RNA (tRNA) molecules are approximately 80 nucleotides in length. Their secondary structure includes four short double-helical elements and three loops (D, anti-codon, and T loops). The record is from Rfam by way of RNAcentral. RNAcentral also lists the same sequence under 1 other name. Lineage: Eukaryota; Metazoa; Chordata; Mammalia; Rodentia; Sciuridae.
GGUGCAGCUCAGUGGUAGAGCACUUGCCUAGCAUGUGUGGGGCCCUGGGUUCAAUCCCCAGCACCA